GAGCGAACAGGAUUAGAUACCCUGGUAGUCCACGCCGUAAACGAUGAGUGCUAAGUGUUAGAGGGUUUCCGCCCUUUAGUGCUGCAGCAAACGCAUUAAGCACUCCGCCUGGGGAGUACGGUCGCAAGACUGAAACUCAAAGGAAUUGACGGGGGCCCGCACAAGCGGUGGAGCAUGUGGUUUAAUUCGAAGCAACGCGAAGAACCUUACCAGGUCUUGACAUCCUCUGACACCCCUAGAGAUAGGGCUUCCCCUUCGGGGGCAGAGUGACAGGUGGUGCAUGGUUGUCGUCAGCUCGUGUCGUGAGAUGUUGGGUUAAGUCCCGCAACGAGCGCAACCCUUGAUCUUAGUUGCCAGCAUUCAGUUGGGCACUCUAAGGUGACUGCCGGUGACAAACCGGAGGAAGGUGGGGAUGACGUCAAAUCAUCAUGCCCCUUAUGACCUGGGCUACACACGUGCUACAAUGGGCAGAACAAAGGGCAGCGAAGCCGCGAGGCUAAGCCAAUCCCAC
RNAcentral lists this ribosomal RNA (511 nucleotides) under Bacillus licheniformis. RNAcentral describes it as "bacterial SSU rRNA". It matches the Rfam family "Bacterial small subunit ribosomal RNA", at positions 766 to 1277 of the family's 1533-position model. Lineage: Bacteria; Bacillati; Bacillota; Bacilli; Caryophanales; Bacillaceae. The record is from RNAcentral.